GUCGCUGUAUAGAACGUGUUUGGUAUGAUUAAUAUACUCAAAAGCCCUCUAGCAGUCAAAAGAGUUUGUUCAGAGACGUUUUCAAUGCUCUCGGCGUCUUCCUCAGCUGCAUGGGAGUUGGAAGCCAACUGAUGCAGGGUAAACAAGCAGGACCGGGAUUUGGGGGUCAGCGUGCAUGUGUGGGCGCUCCCCUCUACACCUCCCAUCGGCGGGGCACAUUUUCGUUGCGUGUCUUGCACACGGGGGGUGCAUUACGUAUAUUACAGGCGGCAAAACGUUGUAAACAUUUUGACUGGCCUACAGCCAGAAAUUGUUGCAAAACAUAAACGUGAUUUGGUGGGAAG
Molecule: long non-coding RNA, 344 nt
Filed under: Androctonus crassicauda
Lineage: Eukaryota; Metazoa; Arthropoda; Arachnida; Scorpiones; Buthidae
Source: RNAcentral